AAAAAAUUUGAUCUUGCUUUUAAAUAACUGUCUUGGAUUUUGAAAUUUACUUAGGAUCAAUAAUGCUCAGUUCCUUCUUACCAUUUUCUUAUUUGUUGGUGUUUUUAUUUGAUUUAAUAGCAUCAAGCUACUUUUGUUAUUUGCAAAAAAGUGCAUAAACAUUCAUUCCUAAUGUGAGCACUUUUUGUACAAAAGAAACUAGAAAGUUUUUCAUGUAAGGUUUGGGAUGAAUAUGUUAAUUCUUGGAAGAAGAUGUUACAUGACAAACAUAUCUUCAAAGAAU
This 283-nucleotide long non-coding RNA is filed under the name Amborella trichopoda. RNAcentral describes it as "long non-coding RNA (ATRI_LNC005376)". Lineage: Eukaryota; Viridiplantae; Streptophyta; Magnoliopsida; Amborellales; Amborellaceae. The record is from RNAcentral.